GCCGGCGUGGCGCAAUGGUAGCGCGUAGCUUUCCUAUCAUCUCAUUUAGUUAGGCUGAAGUUGCGGGUUCGAUCCCCGUCGUCGGUU
Non-coding RNA from Rhodocollybia butyracea, 87 nucleotides. NCBI's taxonomy places the organism in Eukaryota, Fungi, Basidiomycota, Agaricomycetes, Agaricales, Omphalotaceae. The record is from the annotation of a GenBank genome assembly.